AAGGUGAAAGCAGAUGUGAGGGCAUCAGCUGGAGAUGCAGAGUGGGAAAGGCUGAAGCCAGGGUCCUGUGAAGAGGGCUGCAGUAGAGGCCGCAGUCCCCUGGCAGAGCUGUACACUGAGAGGAGCUAUUAGAAUUGUGGCUCCUGGGCCCAUCUUCAGAGAGUCCACUUGGUCAGGCUGAGGUGAUACCUAGAUACCUGGAUAGUUCAAGGACACUUUCUAUUUUUUCCUUAACAUUUUGGUUGUUUUGUUCUUUAAAGAUUAAAAAAAAUUUUUUUUUAAUGUUUAUUUUU
Long non-coding RNA from Leopardus geoffroyi (Geoffroy's cat), 293 nucleotides. RefSeq lists it as uncharacterized. The transcript has 2 exons. The record is from RefSeq and is a predicted model, not a curated record. Lineage: Eukaryota; Metazoa; Chordata; Mammalia; Carnivora; Felidae.